AUUGAACGCUGGCGGAAUGCUUUACACAUGCAAGUCGAACGGCAGCACGGGGGCAACCCUGGUGGCGAGUGGCGAACGGGUGAGUAAUACAUCGGAACGUGCCCAGUCGUGGGGGAUAACGUAGCGAAAGUUACGCUAAUACCGCAUACGAUCUACGGAUGAAAGCGGGGGACCGUAAGGCCUCGCGCGAGUGGAGCGGCCGAUGUCAGAUUAGGUAGUUGGUGGGGUAAAGGCCCACCAAGCCGACGAUCUGUAGCUGGUCUGAGCGGACGACCAGCCACACUGGGACUGAGACACGGCCCAGACUCCUACGGGAGGCAGCAGUGGGGAAUGUUGGACAAUGGGCGCAAGCCUGAUUCAGCCAUUCCGCGUGCAGGACGAAGGCCUUCGGGUUGUAAACUGCUUUUGUACGGAACGAAAAGGCUCUGGUUAAUACCUGGGGCUCAUGACGGUACCGUAAGAAUAAGCACCGGCUAACUACGUGCCAGCAGCCGCGGUAA
This 500-nucleotide ribosomal RNA is filed under the name uncultured bacterium. Its description in RNAcentral is "partial 16S ribosomal RNA". It matches the Rfam family "Bacterial small subunit ribosomal RNA", at positions 29 to 523 of the family's 1533-position model. The record is from RNAcentral.